This 446-nucleotide ribosomal RNA is filed under the name uncultured bacterium. Its description in RNAcentral is "partial 16S ribosomal RNA". It matches the Rfam family "Bacterial small subunit ribosomal RNA", at positions 338 to 795 of the family's 1533-position model. The record is from RNAcentral.
CCUACGGGUAGCAGCAGUCGAGAAUCAUUCACAAUGGGGGAAACCCUGAUGGUGCGACGCCGCGUGGGGGAAUGAAGGUCUUCGGAUUGUAAACCCCUGUCAUGUGGGAGCAAAUUAAAAAGAUAGUACCCCAAGAGGAAGAGACGGCUAACUCUGUGCCAGCAGCCGCGGUAAUACAGAGGUCUCAAGCGUUGUUCGGAAUCACUGGGCGUAAAGCGUGCGUAGGCUGUUUCGUAAGUCGUGUGUGAAGGGCGCGGGCUCAACCCGCAGACGGCGCAUGAUACUGCGAGACUAGAGUAAUGGAGGGGGAACCGGAAUUCUCGGUGUAGCAGUGAAAUGCGUAGAUAUCGAGAGGAACACUCGGGGCGAAGGCGGGUUCCUGGACAUUAACUGACGCUGAGGCACGAAGGCCAGGGGCGCGAAAGGGAUUAGAUACCCGAGUAGUC